UUGGAAAGAGGUUAAAAUUCCCGUGCCGAUGUUUGGAAUCCUUAGUUACCUCAGUUAUCUUCAGCUGAGAGCUCUCACUGAGAGAGUAAGGAGAUAAGGUGGUACAAAUCUGAUGAAGAAGGCUGGUGUUUAUGUCAAACCAUGAUCAGGCUGACAAUGUGUGGCCUUGCUCAGCAGCAGCAGAACAAAGCUCUGCAUUCUGGCUGCUUGUCUCACUGGAGGCAGGCAGGUGGUGAUGUCCUGUCACCAUGCCGACACACAGUCCUCAGGGGGCUCU
This is a non-coding RNA of Phasianus colchicus (ring-necked pheasant), 277 nucleotides long. Lineage: Eukaryota; Metazoa; Chordata; Aves; Galliformes; Phasianidae. The record is from RefSeq and is a predicted model, not a curated record.